This 253-nucleotide ribosomal RNA is filed under the name uncultured bacterium. Its description in RNAcentral is "partial 16S ribosomal RNA". It matches the Rfam family "Bacterial small subunit ribosomal RNA", at positions 524 to 776 of the family's 1533-position model. The record is from RNAcentral.
UACGUAGGGUGCAAGCGUUAUCCGGAUUCACUGGGUUUAAAGGGUGUGUAGGCGGGCUGUUAAGUCAGUGGUGAAAUCUCCGGGCUCAACCCGGAAACUGCCAUUGAUACUAUCAGUCUUGAAUAUUGUUGAGGUGGGCGGAAUAUGUCAUGUAGCGGUGAAAUGCAUAGAGAUGACAUAGAACACCGAUUGCGAAGGCAGCUCACUAAACAUGUAUUGACGCUGAGGCACGAAAGCGUGGGGAUCAAACAGG